Molecule: transfer RNA, 55 nt
Filed under: Plagiorhynchus transversus
Lineage: Eukaryota; Metazoa; Acanthocephala; Palaeacanthocephala; Polymorphida; Plagiorhynchidae
Description: tRNA-Ile
Source: RNAcentral
ACUCUAGAUCCCAAAUUAGGGGUACUUAUUGAUGUUAAGUGUGAUUAUUAGGGUU